UUAUUUGUUUUAUAAUUUUAUACAUUCUUUGACUAGUGUUUUGUAAGGUGAGCCCGUGGCAGAGUAAACUGCGGCACGGACAUGAUAAGAUGCACAGAGUUGGAAAUGAGGGUUUGAGCGCCGAGGCGACUCAAGUAUUCAUUAAUGAUCCUUCCGCAGGUUCACCUACGGAAA
RNAcentral lists this unclassified non-coding RNA (174 nucleotides) under uncultured fungus. Its description in RNAcentral is "sequence contains ITS1". The record is from RNAcentral. Lineage: Eukaryota; Fungi.